This 302-nucleotide ribosomal RNA is filed under the name uncultured bacterium. RNAcentral describes it as "partial 16S ribosomal RNA". It matches the Rfam family "Bacterial small subunit ribosomal RNA", at positions 511 to 808 of the family's 1533-position model. The record is from RNAcentral.
GCAGUCCCGCGGGAAUACGUAGGGUGCAAGCGUUAAUCGGAAUUACUGGGCGUAAAGCGUGCGCAGGCGGUUAUAUAAGACAGAUGUGAAAUCCCCGGGCUCAACCUGGGAACUGCAUUUGUGACUGUAUAGCUAGAGUACGGCAGAGGGGGAUGGAAUUCCGCGUGUAGCAGUGAAAUGCGUAGAUAUGCGGAGGAACACCGAUGGCGAAGGCAAUCCCCUGGGCCUGUACUGACGCUCAUGCACGAAAGCGUGGGGAGCAAACAGGAUUAGAUACCCGUGUAGUCCCUGUCUCUUAUACA